Molecule: ribosomal RNA, 297 nt
Filed under: uncultured bacterium
Lineage: Bacteria
Description: partial 16S ribosomal RNA
Rfam family: Bacterial small subunit ribosomal RNA
Source: RNAcentral
UAACACAUGCAAGUCGAGGGCAGCGGAGAGGUAGCAAUACCUUUGCCGGCGACCGGCGCACGGGUGAGUAACACGUAUGCAAUCCACCUGUAACAGGGGGAUAACCCGCGGAAACGUGGACUAACACCCCAUAACACCUUUCCCCCGCAUGAGGGCGAGGUUAAAACCCCGGUGGUACGGGACGGGCACGCGCGACAUUAGGUAGUUGGCGGGGUAAACGGCCCACCAAGCCAACGAUGGGUAGCCGAGCUGAGAGGCUGAUCGGCCACACUGGAACUGAGACACGGUCCAGACUCC